This 1283-nucleotide ribosomal RNA is filed under the name Salmonella enterica subsp. enterica serovar Typhimurium. RNAcentral's name for it is "partial 23S ribosomal RNA". It matches the Rfam family "Bacterial large subunit ribosomal RNA", at positions 446 to 1547 of the family's 2925-position model. Lineage: Bacteria; Pseudomonadati; Pseudomonadota; Gammaproteobacteria; Enterobacterales; Enterobacteriaceae. The record is from RNAcentral.
GGGGGGACCAUCCUCCAAGGCUAAAUACUCCUGACUGACCGAUAGUGAACCAGUACCGUGAGGGAAAGGCGAAAAGAACCCCGGCGAGGGGAGUGAAAAAGAACCUGAAACCGUGUACGUACAAGCAGUGGGAGCCCCACCACUAAGCCAGUGGUGAACUCCACAUCCGCAUCCUUUGCUGAGGAUACGGUUAACGGAGCGAAAGCGACGUUCAACCGCAAAACAAGCAGAGGGGGCUUAGUGGUGGGGUGACUGCGUACCUUUUGUAUAAUGGGUCAGCGACUUAUAUUCUGUAGCAAGGUUAACCGAAUAGGGGAGCCGGAGGGAAACCGAGUCUUAAUUGGGCGUUAAGUUGCAGGGUAUAGACCCGAAACCCGGUGAUCUAGCCAUGGGCAGGUUGAAGGUUGGGUAACACUAACUGGAGGACCGAACCGACUAAUGUUGAAAAAUUAGCGGAUGACCUGUGGCUGGGGGUGAAAGGCCAAUCAAACCGGGAGAUAGCUGGUUCUCCCCGAAAGCUAUUUAGGUAGCGCCUCGUGAAUUCAUCUCCGGGGGUAGAGCACUGUUUCGGCUAGGGGGCCAUCCCGGCUUACCAACCCGAUGCAAACUGCGAAUACCGGAGAAUGUUAUCACGGGAGACACACGGCGGGUGCUAACGUCCGUCGUGAAGAGGGAAACAACCCAGACCGCCAGCUAAGGUCCCAAAGUCAUGGUUAAGUGGGAAACGAUGUGGGAAGGCCCAGACAGCCAGGAUGUUGGCUUAGAAGCAGCCAUCAUUUAAAGAAAGCGUAAUAGCUCACUGGUCGAGUCGGCCUGCGCGGAAGAUGUAACGGGGCUAAACCAUGCACCGAAGCUGCGGCAGCGAACGUAUCACCCAAGACAACUUUACGGAGUUGACGAUUGACGGAGCGAAGCGACGUCAAAGCGUUCAUUAAAGUCGAGUUGGCUUAGGGAUACGUUCGUUGGGUAGGGGAGCGUUCUGUAAGCCUGUGAAGGUGUGUCGUGAGGCAUGCUGGAGGUAUCAGAAGUGCGAAUGCUGACAUAAGUAACGAUAAAGCGGGUGAAAAGCCCGCUCGCCGGAAGACCAAGGGUUCCUGUCCAACGUUAAUCGGGGCAGGGUGAGUCGACCCCUAAGGCGAGGCCGAAAGGCGUAGUCGAUGGGAAACGGGUUAAUAUUCCCGUACUUGGUGUUACUGCGAAGGGGGGACGGAGAAGGCUAUGUUGGCCGGGCGACGGUUGUCCCGGUUUAAGCGUGUAGGUGUGUGUUCCAGGUAAAUCCGGUU